ACUAUUAUAAUAUAUUAAGUAUAUUUAACUUCCAAUUAAAAAGAUUUUAAUAGUA
RNAcentral lists this transfer RNA (55 nucleotides) under Chordodes sp. VVA-2019. RNAcentral's name for it is "tRNA-Gly". The record is from RNAcentral. Lineage: Eukaryota; Metazoa; Nematomorpha; Gordioida; Chordodea; Chordodidae.